UACGGAGGGUGCAAGCGUUAUCCGGAUUCACUGGGCUUAAAGGGUGCGUAGGCGGGUAAGUAAGUCCGUGGUGAAAUCUCUGAGCUUAACUCAGAAACUGCCGUGGAUACUAUUUGCCUUGAAUAUUGUGGAGGUGAGCGGAAUAUGUCAUGUAGCGGUGAAAUGCUUAGAUAUGACAUAGAACACCAAUUGCGAAGGCAGCUCACUACACCAUCAUUGACGCUGAGGCACGAAAACGUGGGGAUCAAACAGG
Molecule: ribosomal RNA, 253 nt
Filed under: uncultured bacterium
Lineage: Bacteria
Description: partial 16S ribosomal RNA
Rfam family: Bacterial small subunit ribosomal RNA
Source: RNAcentral